This 464-nucleotide ribosomal RNA is filed under the name Vreelandella stevensii. Its description in RNAcentral is "partial 16S ribosomal RNA". It matches the Rfam family "Bacterial small subunit ribosomal RNA", at positions 338 to 795 of the family's 1533-position model. Lineage: Bacteria; Pseudomonadati; Pseudomonadota; Gammaproteobacteria; Oceanospirillales; Halomonadaceae. The record is from RNAcentral.
CCUACGGGUCGCUGCAGUGGGGAAUAUUGGACAAUGGGCGAAAGCCUGAUCCAGCCAUGCCGCGUGUGUGAAGAAGGCCUUCGGGUUGUAAAGCACUUUCAGUGGGGAAGAAAGCCUUGGGGCUAAUACCCUCGAGGAAGGACAUCACCCACAGAAGAAGCACCGGCUAACUCCGUGCCAGCAGCCGCGGUAAUACGGAGGGUGCGAGCGUUAAUCGGAAUUACUGGGCGUAAAGCGCGCGUAGGCGGUCUGAUAAGCCGGUUGUGAAGCCCCGGGCUCAACCUGGGAACGGCAUCCGGAACUGUCAGGCUAAAGUGCAGGAGAGGAAGGUAGAAUUCCCGGUGUAGCGGUGAAAUGCGUAGAGAUCGGGAGGAAUACCAGUGGCGAAGGCGGCCUUCUGGACUGACACUGACGCUGAGGUGCGAAAGCGUGGGUAGCAAACAGGAUUAGAUACCCCAGUAGUC